GGUGACGAGCGGCGGACGGGUGAGUAAUGUCUGGGAAACUGCCUGAUGGAGGGGGAUAACUACUGGAAACGGUAGCUAAUACCGCAUAACGUCGCAAGACCAAAGUGGGGGACCUUCGGGCCUCAUGCCAUCAGAUGUGCCCAGAUGGGAUUAGCUGGUAGGUGGGGUAACGGCUCACCUAGGCGACGAUCCCUAGCUGGUCUGAGAGGAUGACCAGCCACACUGGAACUGAGACACGGUCCAGACUCCUACGGGAGGCAGCAGUGGGGAAUAUUGCACAAUGGGCGCAAGCCUGAUGCAGCCAUGCCGCGUGUGUGAAGAAGGCCUUCGGGUUGUAAAGCACUUUCAGCGGGGAGGAAGGCGGUGAGGUUAAUAACCUCACCGAUUGACGUUACCCGCAGAAGAAGCACCGGCUAACUCCGUGCCAGCAGCCGCGGUAAUACGGAGGGUGCAAGCGUUAAUCGGAAUUACUGGGCGUAAAGCGCACGCAGGCGGUCUGUCAAGUCGGAUGUGAAAUCCCCGGGCUCAACCUGGGAACUGCAUUCGAAACUGGCAGGCUAGAGUCUUGUAGAGGGGGGUAGAAUUCCAGGUGUAGCGGUGAAAUGCGUAGAGAUCUGGAGGAAUACCGGUGGCGAAGGCGGCCCCCUGGACAAAGACUGACG
This 662-nucleotide ribosomal RNA is filed under the name Klebsiella sp. B58.2. Its description in RNAcentral is "bacterial SSU rRNA". It matches the Rfam family "Bacterial small subunit ribosomal RNA", at positions 87 to 745 of the family's 1533-position model. The record is from RNAcentral. RNAcentral also lists the same sequence under 1 other name. Lineage: Bacteria; Pseudomonadati; Pseudomonadota; Gammaproteobacteria; Enterobacterales; Enterobacteriaceae.